AGGGUUUGAUCCUGGCUCAGGAUGAACGCUGACAGAAUGCUUAACACAUGCAAGUCGACUGGAAUUCACCUUCGGGUGAUAGUACGGUGGCGGACGGGUGAGUAACGCGUAAAGAACUUGCCCUCUAGACUGGGACAACUGCUGGAAACGGCAGCUAAUACCGGAUAUUAUGAGAACCUCGCAUGAGGAACUUAUGAAAGGCUACAUGCGCUAGAGGAGAGCUUUGCGUGCCAUUAGGUAGUUGGUGGGGUAAUGGCCCACCAAGCCGACGAUGGCUAGCCGGCCUGAGAGGGUGAUCGGCCACAAGGGGACUGAGACACGGCCCUUACUCCUACGGGAGGCAGCAGUGGGGAAUAUUGGACAAUGGACCAAAAGUCUGAUCCAGCAAUUCUGUGUGCACGAUGAAGGUUUUCGGAUCGUAAAGUGCUUUCAGUAGGGAAGAAAAAAAUGACGGUACCUACAGAAGAAGCGACGGCUAAAUACGUGCCAGCAGCCGCGGUAAUACGUAUGUCGCAAGCGUUAUCCGGAAUUAUUGGGCGUAAAGCGCGUCUAGGCGGCCUUUUAAGUCUGAUGUUAAAAUGCGGGGCUCAACUCCGUAUUGCGUUGGAAACUGAAAGGCUAGAGUAUCAGAGAGGUGGGCGGAACUACAAGUGUAGAGGUGAAAUUCGUAGAUAUUUGUAGGAAUGCCGAUUGGGAAGCCAGCUCACUGGAUGAAUACUGACGCUAAAGCGCGAAAGCGUGGGGAGCAAACGGGAUUAGAUACCCCGGUAG
RNAcentral lists this ribosomal RNA (771 nucleotides) under uncultured bacterium. Its description in RNAcentral is "bacterial SSU rRNA". It matches the Rfam family "Bacterial small subunit ribosomal RNA", at positions 8 to 793 of the family's 1533-position model. The record is from RNAcentral.